Small nuclear RNA from Colossoma macropomum (tambaqui), 115 nucleotides. RefSeq annotates it as U5 spliceosomal RNA. Lineage: Eukaryota; Metazoa; Chordata; Actinopteri; Characiformes; Serrasalmidae. The record is from RefSeq and is a predicted model, not a curated record. The transcript has a single exon.
UAGCUCGGGUUUCUCUUCAUUUGCGCACAAAUCUUUUGCCUUUUACUGAAGAUUUCCGUGGAGGGGAACAUUGACGAGUACUUCUUAUUUUUGCAGGCUCUGCUUUUGUGGGGCG